This is a non-coding RNA of Oncorhynchus mykiss (rainbow trout), 1674 nucleotides long. Lineage: Eukaryota; Metazoa; Chordata; Actinopteri; Salmoniformes; Salmonidae. The record is from RefSeq and is a predicted model, not a curated record.
UGGAAAAACUACCCAAUUGUCAUCCCUGGGUAAAAGUUAAGAUACCUUCAUAGAAAAUGACUCAAGUAAAAGUGAGUCACCCAGAAAAAUACUACUUUAGUAAAAUGUCAUCAUUUGGUUUUAAUACUUAAUUAUCAAAAGUAAAUGUAAUGGCAAAAAUAUACUCUGCGAUACGUCGUGCCCAAGAACAGCCCUUAGCCGUGGUAUAUUGGCCAUAUACCACUUCCCCGCGUGCUUUAUUGCUUAAAUAUACGCUGGAGCUGGGUUUCCAUGAAAUCGCCAUGUUUCAACGAUGAAAAGUAACAUCACGAAAUAAUUUCAGAAAUCGCAAAAUCACUUUGCUCCAUUCACGGAGCAUGGAUUGCCGUUGGAUGCAACGGCCACGGAAUUUCUAAACUGUACUGUCUUUGCUAAGGCAAAUAUUUGUAUAACUGUCAUCAUCUGUAGUUAAUUAUAGUUGACCGGACGUUUGUACAGCCUUAAAAACAAACCGAUGUAGCACAAUCAAAAGUAAAUUGUUCCACAUCUGUAGAGUAAUUUCAUCUAAUAUAAAAAUACGAUCUACGGUUCAAUGAGACCAGGGACGUUUCUGAAAUGAUAUGAAUGAGACCGCUGCAUUUAAUGUCUCGUCUAGUUAAAAUAAAUUAAACGUACUUUUUCAUAAUAAUGUAAAAAAUCAAGCGCUUCAAAUCGAGUGGUGCCAUUGGUGCUCUUUUGACAGUCUGAUAAAUUAUUCACAUCAGUCAAACCAGUCUUCAAUCAGGCAAUCAAGUACAUUAAUGACUGCACUACCGUCUCAAGAAUGUUGUGGGCCUGACAAACGGUUAAUGUUAUGGUGCCCUACAAAACUAAAGUUAUUACAAACGUUUACACAGAUCUUGUAGAAUCUUCUGUAAAACAUUUAAUUAUCAUAUAACAAUUCACAGAAGUUAUCACAUAACCUUUGUUACCCAGUCAGAAUAGUCCAGUGCUUUAAUUAGGCAAUAAUUGUAGGGUUAUUGUGUGCUUUUACAACCGGCGUGAUGAGAACUCGAUCCGGUGGAAUACGACAAUACGGAGCGCUUAUUUCAAAGAGCGCUCUGUAAGUCACGCCCCAGUGGGCAAGGGGCUGAGGCACUUGGACCGUGAUUGAGGACACCCUGGCCUGACACCUGGAUGUGCCUUGCCCAAUCCCACCUGGCUCCCCUCUACAUGCUUCCUGUCUGUUACUUUAAAGUCCAUAAUUAACUUAUACAGCUCUGGAUCCAAUGUCUUACCCACUACUUGUGUCAAUUACUUGCUAGUUUAUAUAACACCUUUUUUUUAAACUAAUGAUUCAAAGGUGUGUGACCAUUAACUUUGGCUGCAUGUCCAUUUAACAAUGGCGUAAAGAGGCUCAAGCUAAUGCUUACACCAAUCCAUUAGGCGAGGGAUGGAUAAUUGGUAUGCAGCCAUUGAUUUUUAGGUGGCUUCAUCAACAGAUGGAAUGUCUCCCAAAUGGCACCAUUUUCCCAAUACACAGUGCACUAAUUUUGACCUGGGUUCAUAGGGCUCUGGUCAAAAGUAAUGCAUUAUACAGGCAAACAGGGUGUCAUUUGGGAUGCAUUCUGCUUGUUGAGCACUACCCUGCCUACUGUAAACCAUUUCUCCCAUUCCCCCAGUUAAGCAAAAUAAAGGGAGAGGCGGUGACAAUAA